RNAcentral lists this ribosomal RNA (252 nucleotides) under uncultured bacterium. RNAcentral's name for it is "partial 16S ribosomal RNA". It matches the Rfam family "Bacterial small subunit ribosomal RNA", at positions 524 to 776 of the family's 1533-position model. The record is from RNAcentral.
UACGGAGGAUGCGAGCGUUAUCCGGAUUUAUUGGGUUUAAAGGGUGCGUAGACGGACGCUUAAGUCAGCGGUAAAAUUGCGGGGCUCAACCUCGUCGAGCCGUUGAAACUGGGUGUCUUGAGUGGGCGAGAAGUACGCGGAAUGCGUGGUGUAGCGGUGAAAUGCAUAGAUAUCACGCAGAACUCCGAUUGCGAAGGCAGCGUACCGGCGCCCAACUGACGCUGAAGCACGAAGGCGUGGGUAUCGAACAGG